GACGAACGCUGGCGGCGUGCUUAACACAUGCAAGUCGAACGGAAAGGCCCUGCUUUUGUGGGGUGCUCGAGUGGCGAACGGGUGAGUAACACGUGAGUAACCUGCCCUUGACUUUGGGAUAACUUCAGGAAACUGGGGCUAAUACCGGAUAGGAGCUCCUGCUGCAUGGUGGGGAUUGGAAAGUUUCGGCGGUUGGGGAUGGACUCGCGGCUUAUCAGCUUGUUGGUGGGGUAGUGGCUUACCAAGGCUUUGACGGGUAGCCGGCCUGAGAGGGUGACCGGCCAAAUUGGGACUGAGAUACGGCCCAGACUCCUACGGGAGGCAGCAGUGGGGAAGAUUGCACAAUGGGCGGAAGCCUGAUGCAGCAACGCCGCGUGCGGGAUGACGGCCUUCGGGUUGUAUACCGCUUUCGCCUGUGACGAAGCGUGAGUGACGGUAAUGGGUAAAGAAGCACCGGCUAACUACGUG
RNAcentral lists this ribosomal RNA (468 nucleotides) under uncultured bacterium. RNAcentral describes it as "partial 16S ribosomal RNA". It matches the Rfam family "Bacterial small subunit ribosomal RNA", at positions 28 to 507 of the family's 1533-position model. The record is from RNAcentral.